This 207-nucleotide unclassified non-coding RNA is filed under the name uncultured Odontia. RNAcentral describes it as "sequence contains ITS1". The record is from RNAcentral. Lineage: Eukaryota; Fungi; Basidiomycota.
AUGAGUUGUUGAAACGGGUUGUUGCUGGCCCCUCUUGGGGGCAUGUGCACGCCUCGCUCACUUCCAUCCCCCCACACUUGUGCACAACCUGUAGUUCUGAGCCGAUGGGGCGCUUACAGGCGCCUCUGACGCCUGGUCCUAUGUUUUUUUUCAACAACACCACAGUUCAUUAGAAUGUGCCUCUGGCGUAUGUAACGCUAAUAAAUA